AUUGAACGCUGGCGGCAGGCCUAACACAUGCAAGUCGAGCGGAUGAAGGGAGCUUGCUCCUGGAUUCAGCGGCGGACGGGUGAGUAAUGCCUAGGAAUCUGCCUGGUAGUGGGGGAUAACGUCCGGAAACGGGCGCUAAUACCGCAUACGUCCUGCGGGAGAAAGUGGGUGAUCUUCGGACCUCACGCUAUCAGAUGAGCCUAGGUCGGAUUAGCUAGUUGGUGGGGUAAAGGCCUACCAAGGCGACGAUCCGUAACUGGUCUGAGAGGAUGAUCAGUCACACUGGAACUGAGACACGGUCCAGACUCCUACGGGAGGCAGCAGUGGGGAAUAUUGGACAAUGGGCGAAAGCCUGAUCCAGCCAUGCCGCGUGUGUGAAGAAGGUCUUCGGAUUGUAAAGCACUUUAAGUUGGGAGGAAGGGCAGUAAGUUAAUACCUUGCUGUUUUGACGUUACCAACAGAAUAAGCACCGGCUAACUUCGUG
RNAcentral lists this ribosomal RNA (484 nucleotides) under uncultured bacterium. RNAcentral's name for it is "partial 16S ribosomal RNA". It matches the Rfam family "Bacterial small subunit ribosomal RNA", at positions 30 to 507 of the family's 1533-position model. The record is from RNAcentral.